RNAcentral lists this long non-coding RNA (2934 nucleotides) under Octopus vulgaris (common octopus). Lineage: Eukaryota; Metazoa; Mollusca; Cephalopoda; Octopoda; Octopodidae. The record is from RNAcentral.
AGACUAUCGCUAAAAGUGUAAACAUGGCUUCACCACCGCAUCAUGACCGGACGACUAAAUCACUGGAAGACGACGAUGAAGACGAAUUAGACAGAGUUGAACUCAUGUUAAAACGGGCUGGUUGCCUAGAACUUCAUUAUAAAGUACAGGAGUGCAUGGGUGAGCAUAAUGACUGGCGCAAAUGUCAACAAGCUUUGAAAGAUUUUAAAGAAUGUUUUAACGUAGCCAAAAAAGAGGAUACUCAAUGACGGGAAUUUCCAGUUAGUAUUUUGUAAGUAUGCAAUUAUAUGAUCUUAAUCGUAUCCGGUCAUAUACACGUAUAGACACAAGCUGUGCUUGUACAUGCGUAUAGGUAUCGGAAAUUAAACUUCUUUUCUUCAGUAGUAAUUAACGUAUAUUUAUGCAUUAUCUUACAAAUAGAAAUCAGGACGCACAUGUUAACUUAUGUGACCUCUGUAUCAUUAAAUCAAAUUAAACUUGUAAUUCUGUUAUAUUUUACAUGAUUUGUUUUAUAAUUAUAGUCGAACAGGCUAGAAUAGAUGGGAAUAAACAACUGUAUUUAUUUCUUGACUGCUGUUUUAUUUUAUCAAUACCCGGAAAGAUAAAAUUCGACCUUGGUGGGAUUUGAACUCAAAACGUAAAGGGACACAACUAUAUAAUCACAGUGAUAUUGCUGCAGUGUGUUUGCAGGUAGAUAAAGACCAUAUUUUCAGUGAAACCUUCUAUAGUGGUAUUUUUGUUUUAAAUUUAUUCUUAUCGUAGUAACCAUUAUGAUACGCAUACUAUUGUAUGAAAAUUGUGUGCUUGCAAACGACUGGGUCUGUGUAAGGUGACUACUAUUCCGAUGAAGUAGUACGUCUACUGAAAGUUAUUGCAUUAAAACACUUCUAAGUAUUUCGACAAGCCUACCAAGGAGUUUCUACUCCAGACAUAGGGGACUUACCAGACAAGUACAUAUCCGAAAUUAUUAGAUGUUGCUAAUCAUAAAUCGGGUGACGACACUAACAUAAUCAUUUAACAAGCAUAACACAUAAUACAGAGUUGUAAAUCGGUGAAUUAUAUAACUCGUUGAUAUUAUUAGAGGAAAGAAUGUUAGCUAAAAAUAAUGCGUACAAUUUCUGUUUUAUUUUGCAUCCAUUUUGUGAGAAUUAAGGGCACCUGUUAUCCUCGCGGGCCUUCGACUUUUAUAUUUCAGCAGUAAGUAAGGAAACAGAAUUAAAAGAAAAUGUUUUUAAAAAUGUCAAAAUUUCAAUCGGAUUUCAUUUGAAUAAAUCUUUAGAUCCGGCAGUUUUAAAUUUGGAACCCCAUUUUCACACGAAAUACUUAACAGUGAUGUGGAAAAACAGUAGUAACUGCUUUCAGCUGAGCAAUCUAUCAAAUAAUGACAUUGGAAUAUUUCCUGCACUUAACUAUAUGCUCUUUAUGCUGAAGGUACUCUUGGGGGAAUUUUCCACUGUUAAAACUUUUCGGCAUUGGCUAACAACAAUAAGUUUUUUUUUCAAUUGAGCAGCCUAAGAACAUUAGAUUAUGUUACAAAAUUUUUAUAUAAAAGUGUCAUACAGAAAGUCCAAAAGUGCUGCAUUCAGCAGGGUGCAACAGGUUGCCUAUGCUUGCUCAAAUUGUUAAGGAAAGUCUGAGAUAGGCACUAUAUGAUCAGAGCUGGAACUCAGCAACAACGUCAGUUCAUGCAUGCUUAUGUAAGCAUACAAAAGAAGAGAGGUUUCUGAAAUUAUAGUAAUAUCUUCCUCAAGCCCACAGGUUCAUAAGACUAGAACUUAUCAAGGUUUCCUUGGUAUUUAAAUGAACGAUAUUACAAGACUCCACUCUGAAUGAGAUGUCUUUCCAUUGCAGAAUUAUCCUCGAGCUACUCUUGAUUCUCAUUUCCAGUCGAAUGGACUAGAUCAACAUAAAAUGAUGUGCCUUAUUCAAGGACAUGAUGUGUUGCCUAGUCUGAGAGUCAAACCCACAAUAUGAUUGUAAGACUAACCCUAACUUUCAUCUGAUUGAUAUAACUGAAGUAUUUACUGGUUCUACACAUGCUUGUAAUUAAUAGAAUAUUCUUGUUUGGUUGAUGCAGUGAAUACUACUCCAUGUUCAUAUUUUUGUAGGAGAACUGUAUUUAAACUUUGAGUAUCAACUUCAAAUAGCGAUCUGGGGAAGCUGGCUGGGGAAUUAGCAGUUUAAUUGUGAGGAGUAUGGCUGAUCUGAAGAUCAUCUAUGAUGCUGCAACAGUGAUAAUAAUGUCUUAUAAAGUAGCAAAUUUGGGGAUAGGGGUAUAUUCGAUUUAGUCAAUCUCACAAUUUAAAUGGCACUAAUUUUUAUCAUUUCAGAAGGAAAUUUUCUAGAAGUUGAUUCCAAUGGAAUUUGAACACAGAACUAAAUACCACAAUCUUUCUGUCAAUUGAUUGUGUUACUCACAUCCUCAUAAUAAUUAUGGUAAUGAUUUCUAACAAAUCCACAAGACCUCAAAUUUUGUAUGGGCACCAAUUAUAGAAAGCUGAAGAAAUUUUCUUCUAAAAGACAGAUUAAUUUACAAGAUGCGGUGCUUAUUCUGAAACUUCUUCAUCAAUUGAAUCAACUAUUGGACUGUAUCUUAUCACCACAACUCUAAAAGGAUGAAAGAUCAAGUUACAUCCAUUCCUCCUGCUAAUAAUAAAACUUGCAGAUUUGAUAUGUAUGUUGUACUAUAGACUGUCUACAACAGUCUCAUAAUCAUAUAAAAAUCUGAGAUAGGUAAAAUUUUACAAGAAAUUUUGUAUAUGUCUUGUUUUCUGACAGAAUAAUGUCUGAAAUUUGUGUCAUUGCAAGAGGUGUGAAAACUGUUUACAAGUGGAAAAUCAGGGAAUUUUUGAUAUUGUUUUGCUGUUACUCUUCACUCGUUUAUUAAAAAAAAAUUAUAAAUUUAAAAAAAAAAUAAAAUAUAUUUUUUCCAAU